Molecule: ribosomal RNA, 856 nt
Filed under: Elphidium sp. S9
Lineage: Eukaryota; Foraminifera; Rotaliida; Elphidiidae
Description: SSU rRNA
Rfam family: Eukaryotic small subunit ribosomal RNA
Source: RNAcentral
AAGGGCACCACAAGAACGCGUGGAGCAUGUGGCUUAAUUUGACUCAACGCGGGAAAUCUUACCGGGUCCGGACACACUGAGGAUUGACAGACAAACAAUUUAUAUUGUUACAAAGAUGCUAGUUCUUUCAUGAUUAUGUGAUAGGUGGUGCAUGGCCGUUCUUAGUUCGUGGAGUGAUCUGUCUGCUUAAUUGCGUUUCAAUAUUUAAAUAUGUAUACGUAUGACCCAAUAACUAUGUUGUUGUGUGUCUAGUAUGCUAUCAUUUGAAAGCAACGAACGUGACCGUAUCCUUUUAUUAUAUACACACAUGUAUAUCUUUUUAAAGGGACCGCUGUUUCUUUCUUUUAAACCAGAGGAAGGUUACGGCAAUAACAGGUCUGUGAUGCCCUUCGAUGUUCCGGGCUGCACACGUGCUACAAUGAUCAUUUCAUUAAGUAUCUUAUAUGUGUGUAGUUCUACUACUACGAUCCUACCCUGAGAAUGGGCGGGUAAUCAAUUAGAAGUAAUGAUUUCCUUUUUUUUAUGCGCAACCAUGUACCGUUAUAUUACAUCCCAUAUACUUUUUUGUAUAUGCGUGUGUGUUUUAUUAUUCGUUUGUACGCGUAACUGUUAAUUCAUGGUGGGGAUAGACCAUUGUUAAUUGUUGGUCUCGGUCUUAACUAGGAAUGCCUUGUACGGGUCAUUGGUUCAACAAACCACCCGGAAUACGUCCCUGCCCUUUGUACACACCGCCCGUCGCUCUUACCGAUGAACUUCGCUAUGAAUCUAUUGGACUGUACUCUGUGUACGGAAAGAUAUAUGAAUAGUGUGGUUUAAAGGAAAGAGAAGUCGUAACAAGGCAUCCGUAGGUGAACCU